This is a long non-coding RNA of Manduca sexta (tobacco hornworm), 1087 nucleotides long. RefSeq lists it as uncharacterized. Lineage: Eukaryota; Metazoa; Arthropoda; Insecta; Lepidoptera; Sphingidae. The transcript is spliced from 2 exons. The record is from RefSeq and is a predicted model, not a curated record.
GCUGGCAAUAUUCAACGAUAAUUUUCGGUAAAAUGUCAGUUGUGUAGGUAUUGCGGUUUACAGCAGUUCGUGCUUUUAUCUCGUAGAUAUUCCGCAAUUACAAUAAUAUUUGAUUACCGCACUUUCACUAAACUAUCUUAUUACGACUGUGUUACGUGCGGGUUUUGUUAAAACAUCAUUCUUUGAAUGAUAUCGAAUACGAAACGUCAAAACGGGACAGCCAGUGUGUUUUUCUACAUAAACUUGUUUUUUAGUGCAAAUUCCAUCUCGUGUUUGUUAAAACUUGUUACAAAUACAACUGGUCGAUGAUAUAAAAGUUCACGAUCCCGAGAUCCAUUCCCUCCUGAAGAACGAACCUAUAUCCAUAUCCAAGAUCCUUAUGGCCAGUUAUAGAUAUAAGCUCCUAUCUAUAAUAAUAUUUUUUGUAGCAUGUGUACUUACUUACAGCAUGUAUUUAUAUGCGUUUGAGAGGUUAAAUAGCAGGAAUAAUUUAAUUUUCGGCAGCGUCUUCACUUACUAAUAUAUUCAUUAGAAUGUAAAAGACAAUACAAUAAAAAAAGUCAUUCCCUUCCUUGAUUUGAAUUUAGAAGACGGUAAACAAUGUGAAGUCAGCCAAGUUGAAAAUUAACAAGCAAUUGAAGCGAAUUGAAUCUUUCAAGAUCCAAUGAAGGAGGCGUUUUGAUUUCGCGCCUCCAGGCUUAUGACGUCACAGUACUACAUUUAAUUAAAUAGUAAAAAUACGAAUAAAAAUACUAUAAAUAUUUAGAUGUUUCUUGUUGGCAGUUGUAUCAUAAAACGAUUUAUUUGUGUCGUUAACCUUUUUUGUAUUUUAUUCUUUUUGUGCUUUUUUAUAAAGUUUCUUUUUUAAUGACGACAGAUUAUUUUUGAACGAUCAGCCCGUCAAUACAAAGUAUUCUGUAUUCGGAAUGGGGAUAAAAUUUGCUAUUGUGAGCACUUUUAUAGAAAUCGGAUUUGCGAUUUUUGUUAUCGUCAGCUUUUCAGAAAUAAGGGAUAAUUUUUAUUUGUGAGAAUCGUUUCUGGUAACAUUUGUAAUGCCUGAUCAUGAAUGUAAAAAUGUUUGCUCUGA